Salvia splendens (bonfire salvia) is the source of this 517-nucleotide long non-coding RNA. RefSeq lists it as uncharacterized. The transcript is spliced from 5 exons. The record is from RefSeq and is a predicted model, not a curated record. Lineage: Eukaryota; Viridiplantae; Streptophyta; Magnoliopsida; Lamiales; Lamiaceae.
UUUAAAGUGAUUGAGAUUAUAAAAAAAGUUCAAACAUAUGCGUAGUAAUUGGAUUGGAUUAUUAAUCUCACCAACGCGGAAGGACCGAAGUUCAAUCACUUACGGUUUCGUCAGGCCCUUGGCGCCGGAAAAAUCCGAUUAACGAGCUGCAGUAUGAAAAAACCUGAGCAUAGAGAUCUGUCGUCUCAAUGGAAUAGAUUAUGUUAGCCACCAUAUGAUGAAGUUCACUUAAGCCAAUAGAUAGCUGGAGUUCAUUACUGGAAGCAUGGAAACAAAGGUUCGGCCGUGUUCUACAAGAUGAAGUUCGUUUGAACCGAAUUGGCAAGCAUUUGUUUGAUUUUUUGGAAAAUCAAUUUCUGAUAAAAGUUUCAAGGUACAGUGAUUUCAGGCAUUUCCUUCAGCAACUUCUAGACAGAAUCACAACUGACGAUGCUAGAAAAGCUGCACAAGCCUCAAAUCUCUCAUUACAAACCCUUCUACACCUCGACAGUUUUGGCUGCAUCUGCUAUACGACUCC